UGCAAAGUAUCAAACAGUAUUUGGCUCAGA
This 30-nucleotide non-coding RNA is filed under the name Mus musculus (house mouse). Lineage: Eukaryota; Metazoa; Chordata; Mammalia; Rodentia; Muridae. The record is from RNAcentral.